This is an unclassified non-coding RNA of Nomascus leucogenys (northern white-cheeked gibbon), 112 nucleotides long. It matches the Rfam family "Y RNA". From Rfam's summary of the family: Y RNAs are components of the Ro ribonucleoprotein particle (Ro RNP), in association with Ro60 and La proteins. The Y RNAs and Ro60 and La proteins are well conserved, but the function of the Ro RNP is not known. The record is from Ensembl. NCBI's taxonomy places the organism in Eukaryota, Metazoa, Chordata, Mammalia, Primates, Hylobatidae.
GGCUGGUCUGAAGGUAGUGAGUUAUCUCAACUGAUUGUUGACAGUCAGCUAUGGAUCAAAAUCCUUGUUCUACUCUUUCCCCCGUCUCACUACAGUACUUGAAUAGCCUUAU